Molecule: ribosomal RNA, 466 nt
Filed under: uncultured bacterium
Lineage: Bacteria
Description: partial 16S ribosomal RNA
Rfam family: Bacterial small subunit ribosomal RNA
Source: RNAcentral
GACGAACGCUGGCGGCGUGCUUAACACAUGCAAGUCGAACGGAAAGGCCUCUUUCGGGGGGUACUCGAGUGGCGAACGGGUGAGUAACACGUGAGUAACCUGCCCUUGACUUUGGGAUAACUUCAGGAAACUGGGGCUAAUACCGGAUAGGAGCUCCUGCUGCAUGGUGGGGGUUGGAAAGUUUCGGCGGUUGGGGAUGGACUCGCGGCUUAUCAGCUUGUUGGUGGGGUAGUGGCUUACCAAGGCUUUGACGGGUAGCCGGCCUGAGAGGGUGACCGGCGCCAUGGGGCCUAGGGUACGGCCAGACUCCUACGGGAGGCAGCAGUGGGGAAUAUUGCACAAUGGGUGGAAGCCUGAUGCAGCAACGCCGUGUGCGGGAUGACGGCCUUCGGGUUGUAAACCGCUUUCGCUCAUGACGAAGCUUUGUGUGACGGUAGUGGGUAAAGAAGCACCGGCUAACUACGUG